Molecule: long non-coding RNA, 1253 nt
Organism: Zootermopsis nevadensis
Lineage: Eukaryota; Metazoa; Arthropoda; Insecta; Blattodea; Termopsidae
Source: RefSeq, a predicted model, not a curated record
UCAACGAAACAAGUCGCCAUACAAUGAAACAUAACAUAAACUUGUGGUAAAUUCCAGAAUCACCGACCACCAACCAAUAGGAUGCACGUAUUUCAUUGUUACCUGUUGGACUAUGUUUAUGAUUACUCCAUAGUAAUCACUGACGCAGAACAAUUCUGCUCUAAAUUUACGACUACAGCUUUGUAUCUUAAAUUAAGAAGAAACACAAAAGUAUUUACUGACACCACGAGGCAGAGUCAAAGGAGAGCCUUAAAAGUACAAAAAUAAAAGUCUAGAACCUAUCGUGAGCACAGUAAAUCAUCAACAAGGGUUAAAGGCACACACUAUGUGCGGUAGACGUGGCAACGCAAGCUCUAUGACGUCAGCAGAGCAGUGCAAAGAUGGCUGCUCCCAUGGAAGCACGCACGAAAUAGGAGCAGCGUUGUGCUAUCAGUUUCUUGGUCAGCGAGGGUGUAAAACCAAUCGCCACAAGGAGUUCUGGUAUGGUAACGCAUACUUAUCGCUGCAGUACGCAUACAAAUGGAGUACCCGUGGAAAAAAAACGGAGUAAGUACAGUUGGGGUCGUGACCCAUUGGAUGCGCACGUUCCCCUCCACGUGAGCGAUACGGUGUUAUGAUUCAAUGUCACGUGUCUCGUUAUUUACGUCACAGCUCCGAUCACAGAUACGAGAGAUGUCUUACAAAGAAAUGUGGGGCAGUGCUGCUGCGAUUUCUAAUGAAUAAAGAAGUAGCUAACCAUGGGCGCGAUCAGAUAUCUGAAGUGACAAGUUACCGAGACAAAUGGAGGCAGAAUUUCUUACCACUUCUCCACUGAUAAAAUUUAUGAAGAAAGAAUUUAGUCUCAGACGAGAGAAAACUACUUCCCGUUCUUAAAGCCCUCACCGUCACGCCUGACUGGACAAGUGCUUCGUUCAUGUCAUGGGGUCUACGAGAGGGUCUGGCGGAGUCUGGGGGUCGGUUCUUUGUUGGUGCUUCCGGGAGAAAUCUGGCUUCAGCCCGGCCAUGAAGAUAUUUACGCAUUUAAUUCAGUUAAAAAUAUACUUUAUAAAUUGUUUAAUUUGUAUGCGAUUUGUGACGAUAAUGCUGAUAAUUUCUGUGACAUUUUAGGGGUCAUAGGCUGUUGGCACUACUUCAGCAACUUUACACUUUUAUAUCGGGAUACUGGGAUAAUGGGAACGACCCGUUCUUCAAGUGCCUGAGCACUGCGGGUCCCAACUUUUCAUUGGCUCGAUCUAUAGACAUUCGGUAGGACU